RNAcentral lists this ribosomal RNA (253 nucleotides) under uncultured bacterium. RNAcentral describes it as "partial 16S ribosomal RNA". It matches the Rfam family "Bacterial small subunit ribosomal RNA", at positions 524 to 776 of the family's 1533-position model. The record is from RNAcentral.
UACGUAGGGGGCUAGCGUUGUCCGGAAUCAUUGGGCGUAACGAGCGUGUAGGCGGCCCGGUAAGUCCGCUGUGAAAGUCGGGGGCUCAACCCUCGAAUGCCGGUGGAUACUGUCGGGCUAGAGUGCGGAAGAGGCGAGUGGAAUUCCUGGUGUAGCGGUGAAAUGCGCAGAUAUCAGGAGGAACACCAAUUGCGAAGGCAGCUCGCUGGGACGUAACUGACGCUGAGACGCGAAAGCGUGGGGAGCAAACAGG